Molecule: ribosomal RNA, 293 nt
Filed under: uncultured bacterium
Lineage: Bacteria
Description: partial 16S ribosomal RNA
Rfam family: Archaeal small subunit ribosomal RNA
Source: RNAcentral
GUGCCAGCCGCCGCGGUAAUACCGGCAGCCCGAGUGAUGGCCGAUCUUAUUGGGCCUAAAGCGUCCGUAGCUGGCUGCGCAAGUCCGUCGGGAAAUCCACUCGCCCAACGAGUGGGCGUCCGACGGAAACUGCACAGCUUGGGACCGGAAGGCUCGAAGGGUACGUUCGGGGUAGGAGUGAAAUCCCGUAAUCCUGGACGGACCGCCGGUGGCGAAAGCGCCUCGGAAGAACGGACUCGACAGUGAGGGACGAAAGCUAGGGUCUCGAACCGGAUUAGAAACCCUAGUAGUCC